This 69-nucleotide transfer RNA is filed under the name Puccinia triticina 1-1 BBBD Race 1. RNAcentral's name for it is "tRNA-Ala (AGC) (tRNA-Ala-AGC-5-1)". It matches the Rfam family "tRNA". From Rfam's summary of the family: Transfer RNA (tRNA) molecules are approximately 80 nucleotides in length. Their secondary structure includes four short double-helical elements and three loops (D, anti-codon, and T loops). Further hydrogen bonds mediate the characteristic L-shaped molecular structure. tRNAs have two regions of fundamental functional importance: the anti-codon, which is responsible for specific mRNA codon recognition, and the 3' end, to which the tRNAs corresponding amino acid is attached (by aminoacyl-tRNA synthetases). tRNAs cope with the degeneracy of the genetic code in two manners: having more than one tRNA (with a specific anti-codon) for a particular amino acid; and 'wobble' base-pairing, i.e. permitting non-standard base-pairing at the 3rd anti-codon position. The record is from RNAcentral. Lineage: Eukaryota; Fungi; Basidiomycota; Pucciniomycetes; Pucciniales; Pucciniaceae.
GGGGUAGCUCAUCGGUAGAGCGCUCGCUUAGCAUGCGAGAGGUACAGGAUUCGACUCCCUGGUACUCCA